GCUCACUUUUGCAAAACAUAUACUAAAAUUGGAAUAAUACAAGAAAAAUUUGCAAGGCCUUUGCGUAAGGAUGACAUGGAAAUUCAUGAAUUAACAUAAUCCAUU
Molecule: small nuclear RNA, 105 nt
Organism: Eublepharis macularius
Lineage: Eukaryota; Metazoa; Chordata; Lepidosauria; Squamata; Eublepharidae
Source: RefSeq, a predicted model, not a curated record